UGGGGAAUAUUGGACAAUGGGCGAAAGCCUGAUCCAGCCAUGCCGCGUGUGUGAAGAAGGUCUUCGGAUUGUAAAGCACUUUAAGUUGGGAGGAAGGGCAGUUACCUAAUACGUGAUUGUUUUGACGUUACCGACAGAAUAAGCACCGGCUAACUCUGUGCCAGCAGCCGCGGUAAUACAGAGGGUGCAAGCGUUAAUCGAAAUUACUGGGCGUAAAGCGCGCGUAGGUGGUUAGUUAAGUUGGAUGUGAAAUCCCCGGGCUCAACCUGGGAACUGCAUUCAAAACUGACUGACUAGAGUAUGGUAGAGGGUGGUGGAAUUUCCUGUGUAGCGGUGAAAUGCGUAGAUAUAGGAAGGAACACCAGUGGCGAAGGCGACCACCUGGACUGAUACUGACACUGAGGUGCGAAAGCGUGGGGAGCAAACAGGAUUAGAUACCCGAGUAGUCCCUGAGCGGGCUGGCAAGGCGCAU
RNAcentral lists this ribosomal RNA (472 nucleotides) under uncultured bacterium. Its description in RNAcentral is "bacterial SSU rRNA". It matches the Rfam family "Bacterial small subunit ribosomal RNA", at positions 355 to 825 of the family's 1533-position model. The record is from RNAcentral.